UACGUAGGGGGCAAGCGUUGUCCGGAAUCACUGGGCGUAAAGGGCGCGCAGGCGGUCGUUCAAGUCGAGUGUGAAAGCCCCCGGCUCAACUGGGGAGGGUCAUUCGAUACUGAUCGACUCGAAGGCAGGAGAGGGAAGCGGAAUUCCCGGUGUAGUGGUGAAAUGCGUAGAUAUCGGGAGGAACACCAGUGGCGAAGGCGGCGACCUGGGCCAAUAUUGACGCUGAGGUGCGAAAGCGUGGGGAGCAAACAGG
Molecule: ribosomal RNA, 253 nt
Filed under: uncultured bacterium
Lineage: Bacteria
Description: partial 16S ribosomal RNA
Rfam family: Bacterial small subunit ribosomal RNA
Source: RNAcentral